CCAGUUGACCGGGUGACCGCUUCCGGCCUUCCCCAGCGGGAAGGAACCGGGGGAGGAAAGUCCGGGCUCCACGGAAACACGGUGCCGGGUAACGCCCGGCGGGGGCGACCCCAGGGAAAGUGCCACAGAAAGCAGACUACCUUUCCGGGCGUGAGCGCGGGAGGGAAAAGGUGAAAGGGUGCGGUAAGAGCGCACCGCGGGCCUGGCAACAGGGCCGGCAGGGCAAACCCCACCGGGAGCAAGACCAAAUAGGGAUGACGCCGGGGGCAACCCCAGGACCAGGAUUUUCGGGUUAGUCAUCCGGGUUGGUCGCACGAGGCGCAAAAGCAAUUUUGCGUCCCAGAUGAAUGGUCACCACGCAUCAGGAGACUGGUGCCCUACAGAACCCGGCUUACAGGUCAACUGGCAUU
Molecule: RNase P RNA, 410 nt
Filed under: Devosia sp.
Lineage: Bacteria; Pseudomonadati; Pseudomonadota; Alphaproteobacteria; Hyphomicrobiales; Devosiaceae
Description: RNase P RNA component class A
Rfam family: Bacterial RNase P class A
About the family: Ribonuclease P (RNase P) is a ubiquitous endoribonuclease, found in archaea, bacteria and eukarya as well as chloroplasts and mitochondria.
Source: RNAcentral